This 563-nucleotide ribosomal RNA is filed under the name Mortierella aff. alpina MS-2015. RNAcentral describes it as "eukaryotic LSU rRNA". The stretch from base 98 to 251 matches the Rfam family "5.8S ribosomal RNA". The record is from RNAcentral. Lineage: Eukaryota; Fungi; Mortierellomycota; Mortierellomycetes; Mortierellales; Mortierellaceae.
GCUGUAAAAAUCCGUUUGGUCACCUUUGGGAUUUAUAUCUACUCAGAACUUUAGUGAUUUUGUCUGAAACAUAUUAUGAAUACUUAAUUCAAAAUACAACUUUCAACAACGGAUCUCUUGGCUCUCGCAUCGAUGAAGAACGCAGCGAAAUGCGAUACGUAAUGUGAAUUGCAGAAUUCAGUGAAUCAUCGAAUCUUUGAACGCAUAUUGCGCUCUCUGGUAUUCCGGAGAGCAUGCUUGUUUGAGUAUCAGUAAACACCUCAACUCCCCUUUCUUUUUUGAAAUGGGAGCUGGACUUGAGUGAUCCCAACGCUUUUCUCACCGAAAAGUGGCGGGUUACUUGAAAUGCAGGUGCAGCUGGACUUUUCUCUGAGCUAAAAGCAUAUCUAUUUAGUCUGCCUAAAAAACAGAUUAUUACCUUUGCUGCAGCUAACAUAAAGGAGAUUAGUUCUUGUGCUGACUGAUGCAGGAUUCACAGAGACAGCUUCGGCUGGCCUUUGUAAACUCGAUCUCAAAUCAAGUAAGACUACCCGCUGAACUUAAGCAUAUCAAUAAGCGGAGGA